AGUAACACGUAAACAACCUGCCUUCAGGAUGGGGACAACAGACGGAAACGACUGCUAAUACCGAAUAAGUUCCAAGGGCCGCAUGGCCCAUGGAAGAAAAGGUGGCCUCUACCUGUAAGCUAUCGCCUGAAGAGGGGUUUGCGUCUGAUUAGCUGGUUGGAGGGGUAACGGCCCACCAAGGCGACGAUCAGUAGCCGGUCUGAGAGGAUGAACGGCCACACUGGAACUGAGACACGGUCCAA
This 242-nucleotide ribosomal RNA is filed under the name uncultured bacterium. RNAcentral's name for it is "partial 16S ribosomal RNA". It matches the Rfam family "Bacterial small subunit ribosomal RNA", at positions 109 to 334 of the family's 1533-position model. The record is from RNAcentral.